AUGGCUUCCCUGGCCCGAAAUACCGUGCUGCUCCUUGUCCUGGUCGGCAUCGUUCUGCAGCUGAGCUCCAUCAUGCCAGCUGCGGCGGCUGGCAGGAUGCUUGCAGAGGACGUACUGAAGUGUGAAGGCGGGUUGGUAUUCAAGAGAGAUCCCUCCAUUAGCGGCGGCGGCAUGUGCGUCGUAGCCGAGAUACUCAAGUGCGGCGGCGGGUUGGUAUUCAAGGAAGAUCCCUCCGUUAGCGGCGGCGGCGACGGGCUCGACAGCUUUUUGAUGCGCUGGUGGUUGCGCUCCAUCCAACAAGAUGUGCCCAUGGUUGUAGUCCGUGCUGUGAUGAAGAUUGGUUCAAUUUUAAAGGUUGAGGCUGCUGGGGCUAGCAUAUAUAAACUGUUUGAUGAAGUUACUAAUAGGAAGGAAUUUCCGUUGAAGGUCGAGCAAAUAAGUGAGCCACUGUUAAUGUCAGGAGGUGUUAUAGGGAAGAUAGGCACAGUGGAGCAAGAGGUAUACUUCCAUAUACAUGAUGCUCUCCAGAAUUUCCAAGGAAGAUGCAUCGUCAUCACAACACGGAACGAACAUGUUGCCAUGAUUUCUUCUCCCAUCGGUCGCCUUCGGCUCGAACAGUUGAGUCAGCCUGAUGCAUUUGACCUUCACUGCAGAAGGGCUUUUACAGAAACAACAGCUACAUGUGCCCCGAGGAGCUUGAGACAGUUGCUACUUCUAUAG
Molecule: ribosomal RNA, 720 nt
Filed under: Triticum aestivum (bread wheat)
Lineage: Eukaryota; Viridiplantae; Streptophyta; Magnoliopsida; Poales; Poaceae
Description: partial small subunit ribosomal RNA
Source: RNAcentral